GGCAGACCAGUUUGCAGCAUAGUUGGAGCAGCCCACGGAACAGCAAGCGAGCGGAGUGGAGUGGUUUGCGGGGACAGGUGGAGCAGCUCACAGGUCAGCUGAAGGAGCGGCGCAGCUGGUGGAGCUGCUGGUGGAGUGGAG
Non-coding RNA from Chelonoidis abingdonii (Abingdon island giant tortoise), 141 nucleotides. Lineage: Eukaryota; Metazoa; Chordata; Testudines; Testudinidae. The record is from RefSeq and is a predicted model, not a curated record.